This 450-nucleotide ribosomal RNA is filed under the name uncultured organism. Its description in RNAcentral is "partial 16S ribosomal RNA". It matches the Rfam family "Bacterial small subunit ribosomal RNA", at positions 334 to 800 of the family's 1533-position model. The record is from RNAcentral.
CACUCCUGCGGGAGGCAGCAGUGGGGAAUAUUGGACAAUGGGCGCAAGCCUGAUCCAGCCAUGCCGCGUGAGUGAUGAAGGCCCUAGGGUUGUAAAGCUCUUUCACCGGAGAAGAUAAUGACGGUAUCCGGAGAAGAAGCCCCGGCUAACUUCGUGCCAGCAGCCGCGGUAAUACGAAGGGGGCUAGCGUUGUUCGGAAUUACUGGGCGUAAAGCGCACGUAGGCGGAUCGAUCAGUCAGGGGUGAAAUCCCAGGGCUCAACCCUGGAACUGCCUUUGAUACUGUCGAUCUGGAGUAUGGAAGAGGUGAGUGGAAUUCCGAGUGUAGAGGUGAAAUUCGUAGAUAUUCGGAGGAACACCAGUGGCGAAGGCGGCUCACUGGUCCAUUACUGACGCUGAGGUGCGAAAGCGUGGGGAGCAAACAGGAUUAGAUACCCUUGUAGUCCCAUGA